Molecule: long non-coding RNA, 346 nt
Organism: Gossypium arboreum
Lineage: Eukaryota; Viridiplantae; Streptophyta; Magnoliopsida; Malvales; Malvaceae
Exons: 3
Source: RefSeq, a predicted model, not a curated record
GGGAGAAAGAAAGAAAGAAAAGAAAAAGGAAAAUUUGGGUUUCAAGGCUCAAAGUUUAAUUUGUCAAUGUGGUACCAGAAAUCUCGGCUAAGAAAGGACAAGACAAAGUCAACGGGAGUUAGCUCGAAAAUUACGGUUUAGUAAAGAUAGAACGUUGAAUCAGCAUCCCAGUUCGAUCCCGAAUUCAUUAAGGUAAAGUGUGUUAAUUAUUGGUAAUGGCAUGUACCUAGGAUGUUUUAUGAGAGUCAUUUAGGUUGUAGAUGUACUCAUGAAAUGAGUAAAUUAUGGUUGGCAACGGUAUGUAGUAUGAAUUUUGAAUUUAUUAAAAAUUCGUAGUGAUUCUAAA